RNAcentral lists this long non-coding RNA (1115 nucleotides) under Trifolium pratense (red clover). RNAcentral's name for it is "long non-coding RNA (TPRA_LNC013963)". Lineage: Eukaryota; Viridiplantae; Streptophyta; Magnoliopsida; Fabales; Fabaceae. The record is from RNAcentral.
UUUAGGUGUAUCAAACUCCCCUAAACUUGAACCAUUGCUUGUCCUCAAGCAAUUUAGCUUGCAUAUAGAAAACAUUUGAAAUGCGAAGCAACUCACACACACAAACUCAGAGAAAAAUAACAUCACAAGUACUCAUACGUGGUCAGAAAUUCAAAUAGGCUAAGAUUAAUUAGUUAGGUUCUUUAUACAAUCAAGAAGGGUAUUUCAACGACACACAAAGUUCUCCCUCUUAUACAUAUCGAAUUUGGAUCAUGCCGUUAUACUAAAAUCUAAAUCUUCUCCUUUGUUUCAUCCUUUUUCAUUCUAGACAGUCACAUUAAGACCCUUUAUCUAUGUCACACACAUGGUAAGAAAGCCGGUUAGCGUCUUUAUUCAUCUUUUCAACUCGCAAUUAGCUUGAUGAUGCAAAUUUUUUGUAUGAGCAAUCUUAUAAAUAUUUUUUUCCCAAGGUUUAACCGUAUUACCACAGUAUGACCUUAUAUUAUUUUUUCCUUUAAGGUUUAACCGUAUUACCACAGUAUGACCUUAAAAAUUUGCUUAGAUGAUUCACUUAUAUUCAUCGACAAACCUACUUAAUGUGUGACUUUAUAGAUGGUGUCCGACUGGAUAGAUAAACUACUAAAGGAUUCCACAAAUUUAAAUCAGGAGAUUUUGGCACAAUGGUUAUUCAAAUUGAUAUCUAUACUAGGGAGACUUCUGGGUGUUGGAAAAAUACUGAUUUUGUUGUAAAAUUCCCUAAUUUCCUUAAAUUAGCCUCUCGUCUUUUCUUAACCUAUAUACUUUCUAAGUGAGCUAUUAUCCUAAGUCUUUGGAAAAAAAUUUAAUUUGGCUCAAGAAAAGGAAAAAUUUAGAAAACCAAAGAAUAUACUAUAAAUUCAAAUUUUUUUAUUAUGCGAAAGGAAAAAUAAACUAAUAAAAAUUCAAAUAACUAAAAACUAAAAGUAAAUAAAGAUAGUAGAAUACUCCCCUAAACUUAAAUUCAACAGUGUCCUCACUGUUGUGACUCAAGAGUAGAUUUGGAGCGUAAAACCUGUGAUAGAUCAUGAGGGAGGUUGUUGAUAAUUUUGGAAAUUAUUGAACUGAAGCCUUAAACCGCCUAGCUCUUGUAUGACAUU